GGCGAACGCUGGCGGCGGGCUUAACACAUGCAAGUCGAACGGAAAGGCCCUUGCUUGCAGGGGUACUCGAGUGGCGGACGGGUGAGUAACACGUGGGUAACCUGCCCUUCAGUGGGGGAUAACAUCCGGAAACGGGUGCUAAUACCGCAUAGUUUCUUUUUCCGCCUGGAAGAAGUAGGAAAGAUGGCCUUUGCGCUAUCACUGAGGGAUGGACCCGCGGCGUAUUAGUUAGUUGGUGGGGUAAUGGCCUACCAAGACGAUGAUACGUAGCCGACCUGAGAGGGUGAUCGGCCACAUUGGGACUGAGACACGGCCCAG
Molecule: ribosomal RNA, 318 nt
Filed under: uncultured bacterium
Lineage: Bacteria
Description: bacterial SSU rRNA
Rfam family: Bacterial small subunit ribosomal RNA
Source: RNAcentral